UCCCAUGUUUACUUUUUAAAUUCUGAUCCCCUCCUAAUAACCGACAUUGAUCCCUCUAUAAACCUUUAAACCUUUAAACCUUAUAAAAGAAAUCAUUCUUAUCUGUUUCCGUCUCCGGCCGCGUCACCACUCGCCAACGACCACAACCUACCACUAUCAUAUCGACCACCUCCGUGUUCGACGGAUCACCACUGCCGCAUCUUCACCACACGAAUCGUAGUUAGACUUCACCGAAGAAAAGGCUUAGUCAAAACCACCGUCACACUUCUCUGGCAAACAAGCUUCCUCACAACCGCACCACCUUGCCUCCACGAAACAGACCCGCUGCCGCUGCUCAGGUCGAAACAACCAUCAUCCGCCACCACACCUUUUUCACCGAAGUGCACCAACAAUUACUGGCACUCGCUACCAUCUUCGGUUAUUACCGUGGCUAUACCACACCACCGCGACCCAUAACACCAAUCGCAAAAGCCUCCCAAGUUCUAGCCGCGACUCUCACAUGCUCGUUAAUUUGCCGCCGCCUGACUCGUUCUUGCUUUGUCGUGUAUGGCUCCGCUCUAAUAUAUUCUGUUUACCAGAUCUCUUGAGGUAACAUGGGAUGAUCUGGGAUUUCAGUGAGGAUCGUUAGGAAGUUCCUGGUCAAGAAUCUUUAUUUCAGUAAUGUAAUAAAUAUAAUUUGGAUAUUUUAUUUUAUGUUAUGGAUUGGUUUUUAGUUUUGAUAUCUGUAAGAGUGACACGUCAGCCCUUGUAACGCCCAUAAUUUUUCUCUUAAGUUAUUUAAAUAACAACGUACUUUUCUAACGAAA
Long non-coding RNA from Helianthus annuus (common sunflower), 806 nucleotides. RefSeq lists it as uncharacterized. The transcript is spliced from 2 exons. The record is from RefSeq and is a predicted model, not a curated record. Lineage: Eukaryota; Viridiplantae; Streptophyta; Magnoliopsida; Asterales; Asteraceae.